GGGCGCUUAGCUCAGCGGGAGAGCGCUUGCUUCACACGCAAGAGGCCACUGGUUCGAUCCCAGUAGCGCCCACUA
Molecule: transfer RNA, 75 nt
Filed under: Ktedonosporobacter rubrisoli
Lineage: Bacteria; Bacillati; Chloroflexota; Ktedonobacteria; Ktedonobacterales; Ktedonosporobacteraceae
Description: tRNA-Val
Rfam family: tRNA
About the family: Transfer RNA (tRNA) molecules are approximately 80 nucleotides in length.
Source: RNAcentral